GGUGGCAGGCCCACCGCAUUCGCUUUGCAGUAAGUGAGUGCAAACCACUUCAAGCGGCAUUGAUAAAGAGUCAUUGUCGUGAGCGUUGAAGAAAAGUCGGAAUAAAAUUCGGCAGGU
Non-coding RNA from Cellvibrio japonicus, 117 nucleotides. Lineage: Bacteria; Pseudomonadati; Pseudomonadota; Gammaproteobacteria; Cellvibrionales; Cellvibrionaceae. The record is from Rfam.